UUCCGGUUGAUCCUGCCGGACCUUACUGCUAUCGGGGUGGGACUAAGACAUGCGAGUCGAGCGUCUCUAGCUAUGUUGAGACGCGGCAGACGGCUCAGUAACACGUGGCUAACCUACCCUCAGGACGAGGAUAAACCCGGGAAACUGGGGCUAAUACUCGAUAGGUGAGAAUGUCUGGAAUGAUUUCUCAUUCAAAGGGCUUUAGAAACAUGCUUCUAAAGUCGCCUGGGGAUGGGGCCGCGUCCGAUCAGGUUGUUGGUGAGGUAACGGCUCACCAAGCCUAUAACCGGUACGGGCCGUGAGAGCGGUAGCCCGGAGAUGGGUACUGAGACAAGGACCCAGGCCCUACGGGGCGCAGCAGUCGCGAAAACUCCGCAAUGCACGAAAGUGUGACGGGGCUACCCCGAGUGCCAUCCGCUGAGGAUGGCUUUUCUUUGGUGUAACUAGCCGGGGGAAUAAGGAGAGGGCAAGACUGGUGUCAGCCGCCGCGGUAAUACCAGCUCUCCGAGUGGUAGGGAUGAUUAUUGGGCUUAAAGCGUCCGUAGCCGGCUUAGCAAGUCUCCUGUUAAAUUCAGCGACCUAAUCGUUGAGCCGCGGGAGAUACUACUAGGCUAGGAGGCGGGGGAGGUCGACGGUACUUCUGGGGUAGGGGUGAAAUCCUAUAAUCCCGGGAGGACCACCAGUGGCGAAAGGCUGUUGACUAGAACGCGCUCGACGGUGAGGGACGAAAGCUGGGGGAGCGAAACCGGGAUCAGAUACCCGGGUAGUCCCAGCCGUAAACGAUGCGGGCUAGUGUUGGGGUGGCUACGUGCCACUUCAGUGCCGCAGGGAAGCCAUUAAGCUCGCCGCCUGGGGAGUACGCGCAAGGCUGAAACUUAAAGGAAUUGGCGGGGGGAGCACACAGGCGUGAGCUUGCGGUCAAUGCAUCCACGCCG
This 935-nucleotide ribosomal RNA is filed under the name uncultured archaeon. RNAcentral's name for it is "bacterial SSU rRNA". It matches the Rfam family "Archaeal small subunit ribosomal RNA", at positions 1 to 921 of the family's 1478-position model. The record is from RNAcentral.